Molecule: long non-coding RNA, 1672 nt
Organism: Meriones unguiculatus (Mongolian gerbil)
Lineage: Eukaryota; Metazoa; Chordata; Mammalia; Rodentia; Muridae
Exons: 3
Source: RefSeq, a predicted model, not a curated record
GCCCUUCUCUCCUUGCCCUUCAAGGUCACAGUGAAAGAUUACGAAAGAGUGGAAAAGCACUGCUCAGAAAAUGGGCCAUAGGGACUUUCCUUCAGCGAGGAACAGGAGAACAAUGUCCAGCCUGGUGCAGGUUGGCUGAACUCUGUGGAGGAAGGAAGUGUGAAGCAAGGGAUACCCCAAACAGGCUGCCUCAGCUCUCCCCUCCUAGAGGUUCUGGAAAAACGUGACAGGGAGGCAGCCGGAAAGCUCAGCUGGCCGGGAAAUCCUUGCCAAGGCAUCUGAGGUAGAGUUUCUCUCCCAAACAUUAACUUGCUUCCCCAGAACCAACUGCUGCUCGGUGGCAGCUACUCUUUCUUGUUGUUACGUAGCUCAGGAUAGCCUCGAACUCUCUCUUCUCCACCCUCAGUCUCCCAAGUGCUGAGAUGACAGGUAUGAGCCACCACACCCAUCUUAUUUCAUCCCUUGCAAGUGAGACAAAUGUUUUAAAAUAAGUAUUUACUCAGCUGCAGAAUCCAUAAAUAAUAGCACAGGCUGAAGAAUUCUCAUCUCAUAUAUAUAUAUAUAUAUAUUAGAACAAUAAAUAGAAUCAAUCCUCAAGUGCACUGGCAAAGGCAGGGCUGUUAAGCAUUAUGACACACUGAAUGGUGGCAUUGGAUUCCAGGAAGUGCAGCAGCUUCCAGGAAGAGCAUUUGUGGAUUGUGACAUGGUAACUUAACUACAACAGGAAGAUAUUGUCUUCAUAAACAACAACCACCACACACACCUUCCACACCACACUCCUGGUCUGAAAACAUUUUCGGUCUCAACUUUUUCCCAGUUGGUAUCAAGUGCUUAUAGCAGAAUCGGGCCUUGAAAGAGUCCCAGAAGUUUGGAUUUUAUUCCGGGUACAACUGAUUCCUGAUCAGGACAGCAAAGAGAUUAUCAGUUACAAGCCUGCAUCCUGGAAGAGAUGGCCCGACGAAGAGUUGGGGACUCCAGGUACAGUUCCUGACACAGCCUUCUGCCCACCCAGAACGUUUCUCCCGACCAUGGCCUCCUGGCAUCUUUUGGCAGCAGCCAGCCUACAAACCCGUCUUACCAGUUCCUGGGCAGCCAGCCAUCUUUUUUGAAUGCCUGACCCUCCAGCCCCUUUCGUGGGAGUGGCCUCCAGCAAACUGCCUAGCUGGGUGCUGGAGUACCACCCCUCCAGCCCCGGCCUGGGAGACCACACUCCACAAAGAAGAUAUAACCUGGCCAGGGCUGCACAGAACCACCAUCAGCAGGAGAACAGGGGCUGAGCCAAGACAUCAAGGUUGACAUAUGACAGGAACCAGCUGAAGAGGAGGGUUGAAAGUCCUUCCUGACCUGGGCUUUUCCCAAUGGACAGAGCAUGUGUGCAAGAAAACGCCAACGAGGGAACACCACUUUUCUUGGUAACACCUCCUGGACCCAAGUGCUACCUAGGAGGGCUGCCUCCAGACGGUGCCACUACCCAAGUACAGCAGCUUUGGAACCCUCCAGUAAAACGGCCCUUCCUUCCCCGGGAGCCAGCUUCCUGCCCUCAUCCCUUGUCUCAGGCUGUCUCCCAGGCCCACGUGGCUUCAGUUCCACACCCUAAGCAUUUCUAUGAAUCUGGGCUUUGUUGGAUGUUUAUUCGUGGGGUGUGAGUUCCAAAGGGAAAUAAAGCUGUGCA